This 446-nucleotide ribosomal RNA is filed under the name uncultured bacterium. RNAcentral describes it as "bacterial SSU rRNA". It matches the Rfam family "Bacterial small subunit ribosomal RNA", at positions 329 to 792 of the family's 1533-position model. The record is from RNAcentral.
GACCAGACUCCUACGGGAGGCAGCAGUGGGGAAUAUUGCACAAUGGGGGAAACCCUGAUGCAGCGACGCCGCGUGAGUGAAGAAGUAUUUCGGUAUGUAAAGCUCUAUCAGCAGGGAAGAAAAUGACGGUACCUGACUAAGAAGCCCCGGCUAACUACGUGCCAGCAGCCGCGGUAAUACGUAGGGGGCAAGCGUUAUCCGGAUUUACUGGGUGUAAAGGGAGCGUAGACGGCAUGGCAAGUCAGAUGUGAAAGCCCGGGGCUCAACCCCGGGACUGCAUUUGAAACUGUCAGGCUGGAGUGCAGGAGAGGUAAGUGGAAUUCCUAGUGUAGCGGUGAAAUGCGUAGAUAUUAGGAGGAACACCAGUGGCGAAGGCGGCUUACUGGACUGCAACUGACGUUGAGGCCCGAAAGCGUGGGGAGCAAACAGGAUUAGAUACCCUGGUA